CAGAUAUUUUUUUCCUGUAAAAGUGCAGCGCAAGAUAUUUUUUUCCCAAUAUAUUUGGCCGCAGGAUAUUUUUUUUUGCCUCUCAUAAUAACGGCUUACAGCAACUUUAGGCUUUCAUAUAGCUAUCAUCGGAGACGUAGCAGGGGUUUUCAGUCAGAGGAGGCCGAGAACUGAAUCCCAAGAGGGGCCAAGGAAUUUUCACUGUGCUUUAUUUUAUAUGGUUAUGUCUUAAUGUUCCCCACACUAAAGCGUGCAAGUUUACUUACAAAGAAUGUAUAACUGCACCAAAACCUAAAACAUGCAGGGAUAGAGUAGAGUACUCGAAAAUGGGGGAGGGAACAGUAUAUGAAUGACCUGUAACCUUGGGGGGUUCGGGGGCAUGCUCCCCCGAGAAAAUUUUAAAAUUUGAACCUCGGAAAUGCUAUUUCCUGCGUUUUCAGCCAUGGAUAAUUAUCUUAAGCCCAGAUUUUCUCAGGGGGGGCAACAAUUUUGCCAGGGAACACCACUGGCUAUCGUAUGUCAGAGGCUCCAAAGGCGGUAGAAUCCCUGUGAUGUUAUCCACUGUUCACCCCGUGUUCUUUUAAGCAAAUGUGCCUGCUCAAAAAUGCAAAAUCUUGCAAGCCUGUGGACACAAUACUGAAGUGAAGAGCAUCAGUAGAGUUACA
Molecule: non-coding RNA, 665 nt
Organism: Paramuricea clavata
Lineage: Eukaryota; Metazoa; Cnidaria; Anthozoa; Malacalcyonacea; Plexauridae
Source: the annotation of a GenBank genome assembly